UGCCAGACUCCUACGGGAGGCAGCAGUAGGGAAUUUUGCGCAAUGGGGGAAACCCUGACGCAGCAACACCGCGUGAAUGUUAAGCCCUUCGGGGUGUAAAGUUCUGUCAAUAGGGACGAAUUUUGACUGUACCUAUAAAGGAAGCACCGGCUAACUCCGUGCCAGCAGCCGCGGUAAUACGUAGGGGGCAAGCGUUAUCCGGAUUUACUGGGUGUAAAGGGAGCGUAGACGGCAGCGCAAGUCUGAAGUGAAAUCCCAUGGCUUAACCAUGGAACUGCUUUGGAAACUGUGCAGCUGGAGUGCAGGAGAGGUAAGCGGAAGUCCUAGUGUAGCGGUGAAAUGCGUAGAUAUUAGGAGGAACACCUGUGGCGAAGGCGGCUUACUGGACUGUAACUGACGUUGAGGCUCGAAAGCGUGGGGAGCAAACAGGAUUAGAUACCCCCGUAACU
RNAcentral lists this ribosomal RNA (449 nucleotides) under uncultured bacterium. RNAcentral's name for it is "bacterial SSU rRNA". It matches the Rfam family "Bacterial small subunit ribosomal RNA", at positions 329 to 795 of the family's 1533-position model. The record is from RNAcentral.